GAGGAAAGCGGGGGGCGUGCCUAAUACAUGCAAGUCGAGCGAACAGAUGAGGAGCUUGCUCCUCUGACGUUAGCGGCGGACGGGUGAGUAACACGUGGAUAACCUACCUAUAAGACUGGGAUAACUUCGGGAAACCGGAGCUAAUACCGGAUAAUAUAUUGAACCGCAUGGUUCAAUAGUGAAAGACGGUUUUGCUGUCACUUAUAGAUGGAUCCGCGCCGCAUUAGCUAGUUGGUAAGGUAACGGCUUACCAAGGCAACGAUGCGUAGCCGACCUGAGAGGGUGAUCGGCCACACUGGAACUGAGACACGGUCCAGACUCCUACGGGAGGCAGCAGUAGGGAAUCUUCCGCAAUGGGCGAAAGCCUGACGGAGCAACGCCGCGUGAGUGAUGAAGGUCUUCGGAUCGUAAAACUCUGUUAUUAGGGAAGAACAAAUGUGUAAGUAACUAUGCACGUCUUGACGGUACCUAAUCAGAAAGCCACGGCUAACUACGUG
This 497-nucleotide ribosomal RNA is filed under the name uncultured bacterium. RNAcentral describes it as "partial 16S ribosomal RNA". It matches the Rfam family "Bacterial small subunit ribosomal RNA", at positions 28 to 507 of the family's 1533-position model. The record is from RNAcentral.